This 690-nucleotide ribosomal RNA is filed under the name uncultured Lachnospiraceae bacterium. Its description in RNAcentral is "bacterial SSU rRNA". It matches the Rfam family "Bacterial small subunit ribosomal RNA", at positions 49 to 737 of the family's 1533-position model. The record is from RNAcentral. Lineage: Bacteria; Bacillati; Bacillota; Clostridia; Lachnospirales; Lachnospiraceae.
UAACACAUGCAAGUCGAACGAAGCACUUUUAUCGAUUUCUUCGGAAUGAAGUUUUAGUGACUGAGUGGCGGACGGGUGAGUAACGCGUGGGUAACCUGCCUCACACAGGGGGAUAACAGUUGGAAACGGCUGCUAAUACCGCAUAAGCGCACAGUACCGCAUGGUACAGUGUGAAAAACUCCGGUGGUGUGAGAUGGACCCGCGUCUGAUUAGCUAGUUGGCAGGGCAACGGCCUACCAAGGCGACGAUCAGUAGCCGACCUGAGAGGGUGACCGGCCACAUUGGGACUGAGACACGGCCCAAACUCCUACGGGAGGCAGCAGUGGGGAAUAUUGCACAAUGGGGGAAACCCUGAUGCAGCGACGCCGCGUGAGCGAAGAAGUAUUUCGGUAUGUAAAGCUCUAUCAGCAGGGAAGAAGAAAUGACGGUACCUGACUAAGAAGCACCGGCUAAAUACGUGCCAGCAGCCGCGGUAAUACGUAUGGUGCAAGCGUUAUCCGGAUUUACUGGGUGUAAAGGGAGCGCAGGCGGAAGGCUAAGUCUGAUGUGAAAGCCCGGGGCUCAACCCCGGUACUGCAUUGGAAACUGGUCAUCUAGAGUGUCGGAGGGGUAAGUGGAAUUCCUAGUGUAGCGGUGAAAUGCGUAGAUAUUAGGAGGAACACCAGUGGCGAAGGCGGCUUACUGGACGAU